CAGUCGCCGCGGUAAUACGAAGGGGGCUAGCGUUGCUCGGAAUCACUGGGCGUAAAGCGUGCGUAGGCGGUGAGUUAAGUCUGCUGUGAAAUCCCCGGGCUCAACCUGGGAAUGGCAGUGGAUACUGGCUCGCUAGAGUGUGUCAGAGGAUGGUGGAAUUCCCGGUGUAGCGGUGAAAUGCGUAGAGAUCGGGAGGAACAUCAGUGGCGAAGGCGGCCAUCUGGGACAACACUGACGCUGAGGCACGAAAGCGUGGGGAGCAAACAGGAUUAGAUAUCCGCGUAGUCCCUGUCUCUUAUAC
Molecule: ribosomal RNA, 301 nt
Filed under: uncultured bacterium
Lineage: Bacteria
Description: partial 16S ribosomal RNA
Rfam family: Bacterial small subunit ribosomal RNA
Source: RNAcentral